CCUCUGGCUCCUCCACCUCCUCCUUAGCCUCUGCAGCUGUCGUGGCCUCGGCUUCGGGCUCCGCCGGGGCCUCGGUGAUGAUGGCAGGGGCGUUAGUUGUGGCCGCCUCCUGCUUGGCAGCUUCAGUGGUAGGGGCAGGGGCUUCGGUCUCCACGGGAGCGACGUCCGUGGCAGCAGCCUCAGUAGCGGCGGUUUCUUCUCCGGCAGGGGUGUCCGUUACGACAUCCUCGGCGGCAGGGGUGUCCGUUACGACAUCCUCGGCGGCAGGGGUGUCCGUUACGACAUCCUCGGCCGCAGCCUCGGGUUCAGCCGAAGGGGCAUGGGUGACUACGGGAUCUUCCUCUUUGAGGGCCUCAGUGGCCUCGGGAACAGCAGGGGAAUCUGUCACCAGCUCUACUGGUGUCACCAGUGUGCCUGACGAGAGGCAAAGAGAGGUCAGAGACUGGUAGAGGCAAAUGAACAAUAUUGACACACACUGAAGAGAGAGACUACAUUUGUUGAUGACAUACUGUACAUGAUCAUUUAUUUUGGAAUGGGAUGUUAAUAUCCUAAACAACAGCUCGUGGAGUCCUAUUCACCAUUUGGUUUCUCUGUUAUUUCACAAUAGUUUUCAAAUGUAGUAGCUGGAAAGAGAGAAUGACGGUUGGAAAGUCCCUCAUUGCAAGGGCAUGGUGAAAUAAUUUGAGAGAAAAACUACGUGAAUAUUAACAUUCUUCCUUGACAUUAUGUUCCCAGUAAUUUUCUCUCCCAGCCUAAGGCUUGACUCAUCAGUAGCAGUGAGAACAUGGCUGCCACAUCCCAUGACUGAACAAACAUUGGUCCUCCCUUCCUCCUCCCCAGUCCCACCCACCCCUCUCCAUUCUGUCUUGGGUCGUGUUUGCACACUCGCAUGCCCCACCCUCUGCCUCAUUUGCUGUUCAUGGAGUCUCCACCUUAACCGACCCUGGAUGGGGACGGCAGGAAGUCAGCAGAUGAGGGCAUACCAUUAAAACACCAAGAGGGGUAAGAAACAAUGGACAAUUCAGUAUAAAACAACACAAUUACAGUAGGUGCUUAACAGUUGUUGCGCAUUACUUGAGAAAACGGGAUCCAAAUUACUCGGAUAUGUUGGAAUUAGUUGUUUGUGAUGUUUCCAGAGAGACCAAAGAUCUGCACGAUCUCAACCUAAAUAAAAUCCUCUCAUCUGGCCAUUUUUGGAUGGCAAUAACAGUUGGAAAGGAAGCUCUUUGAGCUGAGCUCAGUGGAAUGUCAAUGCUUGUAUUGAAAUGUACUAUAAUCUAUCCUAUAAUUGUAUGAACCCACUUGUAAUAAGAAUAGCCUCUUUGUUCAAAGGGUUGGACCGCAAAGUAGAAGCUGAGUGAGACCUUACUGUAGCACUCUACAAAUCAAGUCCUAUCUGUGCCUGUUCCCUUCCAGACCACAACUUUGCUUGGACAGCGCAGCUUCGAAAUUAUUAAGUAGAAGUCAAUUUUAGUGGAGGACUGAAAUUAUGGUAAACUUGCAAAAUGUUCUGCUGCAGUCUCUCCUUUUUCCUGAGAGUACUCUUUGCCCUUUCAAAUCUGCAAUAUGAAACUUCUCUGAAGUCCGAUCUGUCUAAGCUUAGAACCUGACAUCAUUUCUUUGCCAUUUUCCAGUGAUUCUUCAAAACCCUUUACAAUAGAGAAUAGCUUUACGAGGUUAAAAAUAACUGACUCUCUCUCAUUGUUCCACAACUGCCCCAUUAUUCUUAGUCACCUAUUUGCUCAAAUUCUCAUUAGCAACAAGCAAGUUUAAAUAUAACAACAUUUUUGUUCUCCAAUGACUUUGCUGUUUGUUUGGAAAGUCUGAUGAUAAAGUGCCAUUAUGUCCGCUGCUCAUAAUAAGCUCUGAGUACUAUUUCCUUCCAACUGUGCUGGCUAAUACAGCUGUGCUAGUGAGUAAGAGAACAGGAUUGUUGCCCUGUCGCCUCCUCUCUCCCUCCCUCCUUACCACUAUGCUUCUCUCUCUCUCUCGCUCUCUCUUCUCCCCAUCUUCUCCCUGCCCUGCCUCCACCCCAUGAAUGAAGUUGCUCCUGAUAACGAUUUUGGGAAUGCUGUAACGUUAGCUCUGCAAGAGGAGAGCGCGGCGAGUUGGAGAGGGAGCGAGAGCGGUGUAAAAGGCUUGAGUGAAGCCGGAACGAUAUAGAGCCCAGCGGCAGCCACUUUCAUUUAUUCACUCUCUCACUCAUCCUGUUCCAUGAACAGGGGCCUAGUUCCACAGUCUGUCUCUGGUUUAAUGUCCCAUUAUAGCCUGACCUCAGAGCAGAUGUGUUGUGUGACAGAGGAGGCUGGUGGGAGGAGCUAUAGGAGGACGGGAUCAUUGUAAUGGCUGGAAUGGAAUUAAUGGAACGG
RNAcentral lists this long non-coding RNA (2369 nucleotides) under Salmo salar (Atlantic salmon). RNAcentral's name for it is "lncRNA (ENSSSAG00000088561.1)". The record is from RNAcentral. Lineage: Eukaryota; Metazoa; Chordata; Actinopteri; Salmoniformes; Salmonidae.